AGCCACUAGAUGAUAUUAUGUGGUUUUACCUGCCCAAUGUUAUUAUGAAUGGCCGCGGUACUCUGACCGUGCUAAGGUAGCGUAAUCAGUUGACCUUUAAAUGAGGUCAGGAAUGAAUGGAUAAACCGGGUUUAGCUGUCUCUGUGCUAUUAUUUUGAAUUUACUAUCUAAGUGAAAAAGCUUAGUGGUUAAAAAGGGACGAGAAGACCCUUAGAAUUUUUAUGAAAGAAUCACUAUUGGUUCUAUGUUUUUGUUGGGGCGAUAAGGAAAUAUUUAGAACUUUCCUUUUAAAACAAGCCGAUAAUGAUAAGUGAGGAUAAAUUACCUGAGGGAUAACAGCAUAAUUCUAAAAUUGAGUUUGUGACCUCGAUGUUGGACUAGGAAACUAGCAGGCUAGCCGUUUGCUAUGUUAGGUUCUGUUCGAACUUUUAUUCCU
This 436-nucleotide ribosomal RNA is filed under the name Baeolidia australis. RNAcentral's name for it is "partial large subunit ribosomal RNA". It matches the Rfam family "Archaeal large subunit ribosomal RNA", at positions 1913 to 2666 of the family's 2987-position model. The record is from RNAcentral. Lineage: Eukaryota; Metazoa; Mollusca; Gastropoda; Nudibranchia; Aeolidiidae.